AUUUUUAAAGUUUUUAAAAUUUUAAAUUGCAAAUUUAAAGAGAUAUAUUUUUAUAUUAAAAAUU
Molecule: transfer RNA, 64 nt
Filed under: Hylaeus dilatatus
Lineage: Eukaryota; Metazoa; Arthropoda; Insecta; Hymenoptera; Colletidae
Description: tRNA-Cys
Source: RNAcentral